UACGAAGGGGGCUAGCGUUGUUCGGAAUCACUGGGCGUAAAGGGCGCGUAGGUGGCGCCCCAAGUCGAUGGUGAAAGCUCGCCGCUCAACGGCGAGUCGGCCACCGAUACUGGGGCGCUUGAGCACUGUAGAGGCUAAUGGAAUUCCGGGUGUAGCGGUGGAAUGCGUAGAGAUCCGGAAGAACACCGGUGGCGAAGGCGGUUAGCUGGGCAGUUGCUGACACUGAGGCGCGACAGCGUGGGGAGCAAACAGG
This 253-nucleotide ribosomal RNA is filed under the name uncultured bacterium. Its description in RNAcentral is "partial 16S ribosomal RNA". It matches the Rfam family "Bacterial small subunit ribosomal RNA", at positions 524 to 776 of the family's 1533-position model. The record is from RNAcentral.